AGCUUUGCGCAGUGGGAGUAUCAUAAUCAAUGAGGUUUAUCUGAAGCAUGAUUAUUGCUAAUAGAAAAGUUCACUGGAAGAACUUACUGUAGUGACAAAAUUAGUUACUUGAAGCUGUUUUAAACCA
This 127-nucleotide small nuclear RNA is filed under the name Neogale vison (American mink). RNAcentral's name for it is "Neovison vison (American mink) U4 spliceosomal RNA (ENSNVIG00000013730.1)". It matches the Rfam family "U4 spliceosomal RNA". From Rfam's summary of the family: U4 small nuclear RNA (U4 snRNA) is a component of the major U2-dependent spliceosome. The structure of U4 snRNA from yeast and human has been reported. U4 snRNA presents a k-turn RNA motif in the 5p-SL related to recognition of Snu13 protein. The record is from RNAcentral. Lineage: Eukaryota; Metazoa; Chordata; Mammalia; Carnivora; Mustelidae.